RNAcentral lists this ribosomal RNA (406 nucleotides) under uncultured bacterium. RNAcentral's name for it is "partial 16S ribosomal RNA". It matches the Rfam family "Bacterial small subunit ribosomal RNA", at positions 30 to 526 of the family's 1533-position model. The record is from RNAcentral.
AUUGAACGCUGGCGGCAGGCCUAACACAUGCAAGUCGAGCGUGCGGCGGACGGGUGAGUAAUGUAUGGGGAUCUGCCUGAUAGAGGGGGAUAACUACUGGAAAUGGUGUCUAAUACCGCAUACUAUCGGAUGAACCCAUUUGGGAUUAGCUAGUAGGUGGGGUAAAGGCUUACCUAGGCGACGAUCUCUAGCUGGUCUGAGAGGAGGAUCUGCCACACUGGGACUGAGACACGGCCCAGACUCCUACGGGAGGCAGCAGUGGGGAAUAUUGCACAAUGGACGAAAGCCUGAUGCAGCCAUGCCGCGUGUAUGAAGAAGGCCUUAGGGUUGUAAAGUACUUUCAGCGGGGAGGCGUUACCCGCAGAAGAAGCAACGGCUAACUCCGUGCCAGCAGCCGCGGUAAUUC